RNAcentral lists this unclassified non-coding RNA (250 nucleotides) under Ascomycota sp. Its description in RNAcentral is "partial contains small subunit ribosomal RNA, internal transcribed spacer 1, and 5.8S ribosomal RNA". The stretch from base 1 to 47 matches the Rfam family "Eukaryotic small subunit ribosomal RNA", at positions 1785 to 1831 of the family's 1831-position model. The record is from RNAcentral. Lineage: Eukaryota; Fungi; Ascomycota.
AAAGUCGUAACAAGGUUUCCGUAGGUGAACCUGCGGAAGGAUCAUUACUGAGUGAGGGCCCUCUGGGUCCAACCUCCCACCCGUGUUUAUUGUACCUUGUUGCUUCGGCGGGCCCGCCUUUAUGGCCGCCGGGGGGCUCACGCCCCCGGGCCCGCGCCCGCCGAAGACACCUCGAACUCUGUCUGAAGAUUGUAGUCUGAGUGAAAAUAUAAAUUAUUUAAAACUUUCAACAACGGAUCUCUUGGUUCCG